RNA transcript from Cynocephalus volans (Philippine flying lemur), 1695 nucleotides. It is a transcript of the gene named WT1 interacting protein, with no coding region annotated. NCBI's taxonomy places the organism in Eukaryota, Metazoa, Chordata, Mammalia, Dermoptera, Cynocephalidae. The transcript has 10 exons. The record is from RefSeq and is a predicted model, not a curated record.
GCGCCGGCUCCGCCCCGCCCCGCGCCCAGGGGUCCCGGGGCGGGCUCCGGGCUUCGGGCGGACGAUGCGGCGGCACGGCCGGAGCGGCGGCGGGAAGCGGAGGCGGAGGUGACGCGCUAGGGCCGGCUGGCCGGGCCAUGCAGCGCUCCCGGGCGGCCGCGGACGAAGCGGCCCUGCUCCUGGCCGGGCUGGCCCUGCGGGAGCUGGAGCCGGGCGGCGACUCUCCGGGCCGGGGUCGGCGGGGGCCGCGGCCUGGGCCCGGAGACGAGGCGGCGCAGGCGCUGGGCCGCAGAGGCAAGGGCGGCGGCGGACCCGAGGCCGGGGCGGACGGACUGAGCCGCGGGGAGAGAGGCCCGCGACGCGCGGCGGCCCCCGAGCUCGGCGCUCAGCCGGCGGGCAGCCCGCGGGCCAGCUUGGCGGGCUCCGACGGCGGCGGCGGCAGCAGCAGCGCCCGCUCCAGCGGCAUCAGCCUGGGCUACGACCAGCGGCACGGCAGCCCGCGCUCCGGCCGCUCGGACCCGCGCCCCUGCCCCGGGCCGCCGUCGGUGGGCAGCGCCCGCUCCAGCGUGUCCAGCCUCGGCUCCCGCGGCUCGGCCGGCGCCUACGCCGACCUGCUCCUUCCCGGCGCCUGCCCCGCGCCGGCGCGCUCCCCGGAGCCUGCCGGGCCGAGCCCCUUCCCCCUGCCGUCGCUCCAGCUGCCCCCGGGUCGGGAGGGCGGCCCGAGCGCGGCCGAGCGGCGGCUGGAGGCGCUCACUCGAGAGCUGGAGCGGGCGCUGGAGGCGCGCACGGCGCGGGACUACUUCGGCAUUUGCAUCAAGUGUGGGCUUGGCAUCUAUGGAGCAAGGCAGGCAUGCCAAGCGAUGGGGAGCCUGUAUCACACUGACUGCUUCACCUGUGACUCCUGCGGGAGACGACUCCGUGGGAAGGCGUUCUACAAUGUGGGCGAGAAAGUAUACUGCCAGGAGGACUUCCUGUACUCCGGGUUCCAGCAAACCGCUGACAAGUGUAGCGUGUGUGGACACCUCAUCAUGGAGAUGAUCCUGCAGGCCCUUGGCAAGUCCUACCACCCGGGCUGCUUCCGGUGCUCUGUGUGCAACGAGUGCCUGGACGGGGUGCCCUUCACUGUGGAUGUGGAGAACAACAUCUACUGUGUCAGAGACUAUCACACAGUUUUUGCACCAAAAUGUGCCUCCUGUUCCCGUCCUAUCCUCCCUGCACAGGGCUGUGAGACAACCAUCCGUGUGGUGUCCAUGGACAGAGACUACCACGUGGAAUGCUAUCACUGUGAGGUGAAGGUGGGACUCCACAGCAUCUCAUCCAGCUGGUGCCAUGAAUUCUGUGUGGAAGAUCAGUUCCAACAUGGAAGUUUGGGAUAGCAAUUAUACAAGUUGAAGAAGGAUGCCUUGAUGUAGCUGUUGUCCUGAGUGAGCCUAACCAAGGUUCAGCAAGUGUCCAGGUGCUGGAGGGAGUCACCAAGCAGUGGCGAGAGACACAAGCGUUGGAUCACAGAAGACAUCUGCAGAAGCAGGGCUCAGUCACCCUUGACACGGUUUCUGGUGCUAUAUCCCACCCAAAUGGCUCCAGCCAGUGGCCCGAGAUGAAGACUUGGAGGCAUCUGUCCCACCUAGCUGGACACUUUCCCAACACUUCCUUUAAACAGACCAUUCAGACCUUUGCCCUCCAACUUAAAGUUAC